This 253-nucleotide ribosomal RNA is filed under the name uncultured bacterium. RNAcentral describes it as "partial 16S ribosomal RNA". It matches the Rfam family "Bacterial small subunit ribosomal RNA", at positions 524 to 776 of the family's 1533-position model. The record is from RNAcentral.
GGCGGAGGAGGCAAGCGUUAUCCGGAAUCACUGGGCGUAAAGCGUCUGUAGGUGGUUUAUCAAGUCUGCUGUUAAAGCUUGAGGCUUAACCUCAAAAAAGCAGUGGAAACUGAUAGACUAGAGAAUGGUAGGGGCAGAGAGAAUUCUCAGUGUAGCGGUGAAAUGCGUAGAUAUUGAGAAGAAUACCGAUAGCGAAGGCGCUCUGCUGGGCCAUUACUGACACUCAGAGAAGAAAGCUAGGGGAGCAAAUGGG